Molecule: non-coding RNA, 1654 nt
Organism: Caretta caretta (loggerhead turtle)
Lineage: Eukaryota; Metazoa; Chordata; Testudines; Cheloniidae
Source: the annotation of a RefSeq genome assembly
CUCGCCCCUGUUCCUUAAAGAGACAGUGACAUAGGGUAGAAAACUCGGCUGCUCUUGACCUCUGCUCACCCUCCGCUUUGGAGUAGGAGGGACCGUAUCUCGGGCAGGGAGCUGCUAGGUGUGACUGUUGUGUGUGUUGGAGCCAUGAGAAAGAGAGACUGCGCAUGCACACGCAAAUAGGGACACACUAGGUCGGAAAGACAGAGUGAGAGAGGAGGACACAGACUCGGAUCCAGAAAAGGGCGCGCGCGCGCACACACGCCCCCCUUUCCCAAGCGUUACUGGGGUGGGUGAGCUCCACCCCCAUCCCAGCUCCGGAUCCGCUGUUCACACAGAAGCUGCCGUCACCCCCUGGCGCUCCAUUUCCCCUGGAUAAGUGACUGCGGCUCAUUGUAUUUCCCCCAGUGGUUACAGACUUGCGGGGAUCUCUGUGUCUGUGUCUCUGCGCGCUGCCGCUGUUCCCAGGUUGCACCCAGAAAUACAAUCCACAGCCCCCUGGUUCUGUCCAGUUACCAGUCAACCUCCCUAAGAACUUUCCUCUCCAAGACCAGGGAGAAUGAGACUUUGGCUCCAUUUAGGUUUCCUUGUAGCAGCUUUGGAAGGUGCCCGGUCGCAGGUGCAGCUGGUGGAGUCCGGAGGGGAUGUGAAAAAGCCCGGAGACUCUCUCCGCCUCUCCUGCAAAGCCUCCGGGUUCACCUUCAGCAGCUACCAGAUGCACUGGGUCCGGCAGGCUCCCGGGAAAGGCCUGGAGUGGGUCUCGCUCAUUUACACUGACGGAAGCAAAAGUUAUUACUCAGAUGCAGUCAAAGGGCGAUUCACCAUCUCCAGGGACAAUUCCAACAACCUGCUGUAUCUGCAAAUGACCGGCCUGAAACCCGAGGACACCGCCCGGUAUUACUGCGCUAGACGCACAGUGAAAUGAGACCUCUUGUUGCUAACACAAAAACCCAGACUGCGGAUUGUCCCUCCUGCCGUGCGCCGCGUAGGGGCAGCAGUUAAACGAAUCAUACAAGAGGCAGGAGACGCGUCUCAGCCUUCAAAACGAACAGCUUGUGUGUGUGUGUGUGUGUGUGUGGUGGAGAUGGGCUGCUGCUUUAGAUCCCUGGCAAUGCCACCCCUUGUUACACAUAACCGCCCUGGGGCCUGCAGUGCAGAGACCAUCGGAGUCCCCCAUAAGCCCUGCUUAACUGGGAUACCUCUUGUCAGAGCCACUCUCCCCUGGCAGAAGGGGAACGGUCGAUCUUCUCCUGAUCAUUUCUAUCUCCGAUACAAUGGGCAGUAGCUGUCACCUCGGAGAACAGAAACUGGUGAUGGGGCUGAUCUACAGCCCUUGGGAAGCAAUGAAAAACCUUGCCUCUGAUUUCACACAGCUAUGGUUGUUGUGAUCUUAAGACAUACAUUCACGGUGGGAGCAGAACCACAGCUGGAAUAAAUGAUCACUGACCCACUGGAUUCAAUGCAGCAGAUACCCCUAUUUAUGCCGGCUGACGAUCUGGGCCUUUUGUUCAAACAGUUAAAACCUCUAAUAAACACAUGGGUGCUAUUUAGCCAAUGGGUUCUGGGUGCCUAAGUCCCUUAGGUUCCUGUGAAAAAAAAGAGUUUUUUCUAAGAAGAGGCGCCAUUUCUACCUUUAGAAUGAGGUAGUAACCCCUUC